AGCGAACGCUGGCGGCAGGCUUAACACAUGCAAGUCGAGCGGGCACUUUCGGGUGUCCGCGGCGGACGGGUGAGUAACGCGUGGGAACGUGCCCUCUGGUUCGGAAUAACUCAGGGAAACUUGAGCUAAUACCGGAUACGCCCUUUUGGGGAAAGGCUUGCUGCCGGAGGAUCGGCCCGCGUCUGAUUAGCUAGUUGGUGAGGUAACGGCUCACCAAGGCGACGAUCGGUAGCUGGUCUGAGAGGAUGAUCAGCCACACUGGGACUGAGACACGGCCCAGACUCCUACGGGAGGCAGCAGUGGGGAAUAUUGGACAAUGGGCGCAAGCCUGAUCCAGCCAUGCCGCGUGAGUGAUGAAGGCCUUAGGGUUGUAAAGCUCUUUUAUCCGGGACGAUAAUGACGGUACCGGAGGAAUAAGCCCCGGCUAACUUCGUG
RNAcentral lists this ribosomal RNA (435 nucleotides) under uncultured bacterium. RNAcentral describes it as "partial 16S ribosomal RNA". It matches the Rfam family "Bacterial small subunit ribosomal RNA", at positions 29 to 507 of the family's 1533-position model. The record is from RNAcentral.